This 497-nucleotide ribosomal RNA is filed under the name uncultured bacterium. RNAcentral describes it as "partial 16S ribosomal RNA". It matches the Rfam family "Bacterial small subunit ribosomal RNA", at positions 28 to 507 of the family's 1533-position model. The record is from RNAcentral.
GAUGAACGCUGGCGGCGUGCCUAAUACAUGCAAGUCGAGCGAACAAACGAGGAGCUUGCUCCUCUGACGUUAGCGGCGGACGGGUGAGUAACACGUGGAUAACCUACCUAUAAGACUGGGAUAACUUCGGGAAACCGGAGCUAAUACCGGAUAAUAUAUUGAACCGCAUGGUUCAAUAGUGAAAGACGGUUUUGCUGUCACUUAUAGAUGGAUCCGCGCCGCAUUAGCUAGUUGGUAAGGUAACGGCUUACCAAGGCAACGAUGCGUAGCCGACCUGAGAGGGUGAUCGGCCACACUGGAACUGAGACACGGUCCAGACUCCUACGGGAGGCAGCAGUAGGGAAUCUUCCGCAAUGGGCGAAAGCCUGACGGAGCAACACCGCGUGAGUGAUGAAGGUCUUCGGAUCGUAAAACUCUGUUAUUAGGGAAGAACAAAUGUGUAAGUAACUAUGCACGUCUUGACGGUACCUAAUCAGAAAGCCACGGCUAACUACGUG